AGAUAAUAGAUACCCGGGUAGUCCACGCCCUAAACGAUGCAUAUUUGGUGUGGGCAGUUCAUUCUGUCCGUGCCGGAGCUAACGCGUUAAAUAUGCCGCCUGGGGAGUACAGUCGCAAGGCUGAAACUCAAAGGAAUUGACGGGGGCCCGCACAAGCGGUGGAGCAUGUGGUUCAAUUCGACGCAACGCGAAGAACCUUACCUGGGCUCGAACGGCUGGUCAACGGAGGUGUAAACAUCUCUACCCCGCAAGGGGGUCCAGUCGAGGUGCUGCAUGGCUGUCGUCAGCUCGUGUCGUGAGAUGUUGGGUUAAGUCCCGCAACGAGCGCAACCCUUGUCCUGUGUUGCCAUCAUUCAGUUGGGAACUCGCAGGAGACCGCCAGGGAUAACCUGGAGGAAGGUGGGGAUGACGUCAAGUCCUCAUGGCCUUUAUGUCCAGGGCUACACACGUGCUACAAUGGGCGGUACAAAGCGCCGCGAACCCGCGAGGGGGAGCCAAUCGCAAAAAACCCGUUCUCAGUUCGGAUUGCAGGCUGC
RNAcentral lists this ribosomal RNA (536 nucleotides) under uncultured bacterium. Its description in RNAcentral is "bacterial SSU rRNA". It matches the Rfam family "Bacterial small subunit ribosomal RNA", at positions 775 to 1308 of the family's 1533-position model. The record is from RNAcentral.